This 83-nucleotide ribosomal RNA is filed under the name Clostridia bacterium. RNAcentral describes it as "partial 23S ribosomal RNA". It matches the Rfam family "Bacterial large subunit ribosomal RNA", at positions 2842 to 2925 of the family's 2925-position model. The record is from RNAcentral. Lineage: Bacteria; Bacillati; Bacillota; Clostridia.
AGACUAUCUGGUAGAUAGGCCGAAGGUGUAAGGGCAGCAAUGCCUUGAGCCGAUCGGUACUAAUCGGUCGAGGGCUUGACCUU